CCAGCAGCCGCGGUAAUUCCAGCUCCAAUAGUUUAUACGUUCGUUGUUGUGGUUAAAAAGCUCGUAGUUGGAUCUCGGCGGCCAGGGCGCGGUUCGUUUUUCGACGCUACUGCGCCAUUUUGGCCGUGUUUGUCUUGGCUGGAGGUCCUCAGGGUGCUCUUAACCGAGUGUCCUGUGGCGCCAGCAGGUUUACUUUGAAAAAAUUAGAGUGCUCCAAGCAGGCUUGACACGCUUGAAUAUUCGUGCAUGGAAUAAUGGAAUAGGACGUCGUUUCUAUUUUGUUGGUUUUUCUGAAAUCGACGUAAUGAUUAAUAGGGACGGUCGGGGGCAUUAGUAUUCAGACGACAGAGGUGAAAUUCUUGGACCGUCUG
RNAcentral lists this ribosomal RNA (371 nucleotides) under uncultured eukaryote. RNAcentral's name for it is "SSU rRNA". It matches the Rfam family "Eukaryotic small subunit ribosomal RNA", at positions 567 to 931 of the family's 1831-position model. The record is from RNAcentral.